Molecule: ribosomal RNA, 1962 nt
Filed under: Lachnospiraceae bacterium
Lineage: Bacteria; Bacillati; Bacillota; Clostridia; Lachnospirales; Lachnospiraceae
Description: partial 23S ribosomal RNA
Rfam family: Bacterial large subunit ribosomal RNA
Source: RNAcentral
AGGUUAAGCUAGGAAGAGCACAGGGUGGAUGCCUUGGCACUAAGAGCCGAAGAAAGACGUGAUAAGCUGCGAAAAGCUGCGGGGAGGAGCAAAUAUCCAGAGAGCCGCAGAUAUCUGAAUGGGGAAACCCACGCGGGAAGAAUCCGCGUAUCCGUACGUAAAUCCAUAGCGUGCGGAGGGGAACCCGGUGAACUGAAACAUCUAAGUAGCCGGAGGAAGAGAAAACAAAAGUGAUUCCGUAAGUAGCGGCGAGCGAAAGCGGAGGAGCCCAAACCGGAGUGCGUGCACACCGGGGUUCGGACUGCAGAAGUGACAUGCAAAUACAGUGGAACGGUACUGGAAAGACCGGCGGGAGAGGGUGAAAGCCCCGUACACGAAGUAAGAGCAUGCACGGCAGGAUCCAGAGUACGGCGAGACACGAGAAACCUUGCCGGAAGAAGCGGGGACCACCCCGUAAGGCUAAAUACUCCUUAGUGACCGAUAGAGCAGAGUACUGUGAAGGAAAGGUGAAAAGGACCCCGGGAGGGGAGUGAAAGAGAACCUGAAACCUUGUGUUUACAAGCUGUGGAACCAUGAGCGAUUGUGGAACCGCGUACUUUUUGUAGAACGGUCCGGCGAGUUGUGCAAACCGGUAGGUUAAGGGCUUAAGGUCCGGAGCCGGAGGGAAACCGAGUCUUAAUAGGGCGAAAAUCGGUUUGUGCAGACCCGAAACCGGGUGAUCUACCCAUGUCCAGGCUGAAGUCUGCGUAAAAGCAGAUGGAGGGCCGAACGCACAUCCGUUGAAAAGGGUGGCGAUGAGGUGUGGGUAGGGGAGAAAUUCCAAUCGAACCCGGAGAUAGCUGGUUCUCCCCGAAAUAGCUUUAGGGCUAGCCCUUCAGGAGUCACAUGGAGGUAGAGCACUGAAUACCCGAGGGGGCGUCAAAGCUUACCAAAGGUUAUCAAACUCCGAAUGCCAUGGAGAUGCUCUGGAGGAGUCAGACCGCACGAGAUAAGUUGGGCGGUCAAAAGGGAAAGAGCCCAGACCCGCGGCUAAGGUCCCGGAGUGCGUGUUAAGUGGAAAAGGAUGUGGGGAUUCAAAGACAGCCAGGAUGUUGGCUCAGAAGCAGCCAUACAUUAAAAGAGUGCGUAAUAGCUCACUGGCCGAGAGUGCCUGCGCCGAAAAUGUCCGGGGCUAAAACACGCCACCGAAGCCCGGGGAUCAUGAAGAAUGAUCGGUAGGGGAGCAUUGUUAACGCGAAGAAGCAGGACUGAAAGGUGUUGUGGAGUGUUAAGAAGAGAGAAUGCCGGAAUGAGUAGCGAGAAAGAGGUGAGAAUCCUCUUGGCCGAAUAUCCGAGGUUUCCAGAGUAAAGCUGAUCUGCUCUGGGUAAGUCGGGGCCUAAGGCGAGGCAGAGAUGCGUAGCCGAUGGACAACAGGUUGAGAUUCCUGUACUGGAUGGCAGCAGAACUGUGGGGACGCAUGUGGAGAGCACGAGCCGGAAGAGGAAAAGCCGGUGCAAGCGGAGGAGGAGUAUGGUUGGAAAAACCGCCAUGCAAUCCAAAGACGUGACGCGGAGCGAAAAAGAGUAGCGAAGCGUGUGAGCCAUGUGCCAAGAAAAGCCGCUAUAGACUGCCAUGCACCCGUACCGUAAACCGACACAGGUGGAUGAGGAGAGAAUCCUAAGGCCGACGGAAGAAGCAUUGUUAAGGAACUCGGCAAAAUGACCCCGUAACUUCGGGAGAAGGGGUGCCCUUGAAAUAGAGGGCCGCAGAGAAUAGGCUCAAGCAACUGUUUAGCAAAAACACAGGUCUAUGCAAAACCGAAAGGUGAAGUAUAUGGGCUGACGCCUGCCCGGUGCUGGAAGGUUAAGAGGAGAGGUUAAAAGGAGAAAUUCUUUGAAGCUUUGAAUUUAAGCCCCAGUAAACGGCGGCCGUAACUAUAACGGUCCUAAGGUAGCGAAAUUCCUUGUCGGGUAAGUUCCGAC